GACGAACGCUGGCGGCGUGCUUAACACAUGCAAGUCGAACGGUGAACGAGGGAGCUUGCUCCCUCCGGAUCAGUGGCGAACGGGUGAGUAACACGUGAGCAAUCUGCCCCGAACUCUGGGAUAAGCGUUGGAAACGACGUCUAAUACCGGAUACGACGCGGGAGGGCAUCCUCUCCGCGUGGAAAGAACUUCGGUUCGGGAUGAGCUCGCGGCCUAUCAGCUUGUUGGUGAGGUAACGGCUCACCAAGGCGACGACGGGUAGCCGGCCUGAGAGGGUGACCAGCCACACUGGGACUGAGACACGGACCAGACUCCUACGGGAGGCAGCAGUGGGGAAUAUUGCACAAUGGGCGCAAGCCUGAUGCAGCAACGCCGCGUGAGGGACGACGGCCUUCGGGUUGUAAACCUCUUUUAGCAGGGAAGAAGCGAAAGUGACGGUACCUGCAGAAAAAGCACCGGCUAACUACGUG
RNAcentral lists this ribosomal RNA (470 nucleotides) under uncultured bacterium. RNAcentral describes it as "partial 16S ribosomal RNA". It matches the Rfam family "Bacterial small subunit ribosomal RNA", at positions 28 to 507 of the family's 1533-position model. The record is from RNAcentral.